RNAcentral lists this ribosomal RNA (750 nucleotides) under uncultured Brachybacterium sp. RNAcentral describes it as "bacterial SSU rRNA". It matches the Rfam family "Bacterial small subunit ribosomal RNA", at positions 1 to 765 of the family's 1533-position model. The record is from RNAcentral. Lineage: Bacteria; Bacillati; Actinomycetota; Actinomycetes; Micrococcales; Dermabacteraceae.
AAAGAAUUUUUUUUUUUGCUCAGGACGAACGCUGGCGGCGUGCUUAACACAUGCAAGUCGAACGAUGACGGUGGUGCUUGCACCGCCUGAUUAGUGGCGAACGGGUGAGUAACACGUGAGUAACCUGCCCUCCACUUCGGGAUAACCUCGGGAAAUCGUGGCUAAUACCGGAUAUGAGCACUCAUCGCAUGGUGGGUGUUGGAAAGAUUUAUCGGUGGGGGAUGGACUCGCGGCCUAUCAGUUUGUUGGUGAGGUGAUGGCUCACCAAGACGAUGACGGGUAGCCGGCCUGAGAGGGCGACCGGCCACACUGGGACUGAGACACGGCCCAGACUCCUACGGGAGGCAGCAGUGGGGAAUAUUGCACAAUGGGCGAAAGCCUGAUGCAGCGACGCCGCGUGGGGGAUGACGGCCUUCGGGUUGUAAACCCCUUUCAGUAGGGAAGAAGCGAGAGUGACGGUACCUGCAGAAGAAGCGCCGGCUAACUACGUGCCAGCAGCCGCGGUAAUACGUAGGGCGCAAGCGUUGUCCGGAAUUAUUGGGCGUAAAGAGCUUGUAGGUGGCUUGUCGCGUCUGCCGUGAAAACCCGAGGCUCAACCUCGGGCGUGCGGUGGGUACGGGCAGGCUAGAGUGUGGUAGGGGAGACUGGAACUCCUGGUGUAGCGGUGAAAUGCGCAGAUAUCAGGAAGAACACCGAUGGCGAAGGCUAGGUCUCUGGGCCAUUACUGACACUGAGAAGCGAAAGACUUCA